GAGUGGGUGUUGCAGCUAACGCAUUAAAUAAUCUGCCUGGGUAGUACAUUCGCAAGAAUGAAACUCAAACGGAAUUGACGGGGACCCGCACAAGUGGUGGAGCAUGCUGCUUAAUUUGACGAUACACGUAAAACCUUACCUAGGUUUGACAUCCCCUGCAAAGCUAUAGAAAUAUAGUGGAGGUUAACAGAGUGAAGAUGGUGCAAA
RNAcentral lists this ribosomal RNA (207 nucleotides) under Ureaplasma urealyticum. RNAcentral describes it as "partial 16S ribosomal RNA". It matches the Rfam family "Bacterial small subunit ribosomal RNA", at positions 837 to 1047 of the family's 1533-position model. Lineage: Bacteria; Bacillati; Mycoplasmatota; Mycoplasmoidales; Mycoplasmoidaceae. The record is from RNAcentral.